This 465-nucleotide ribosomal RNA is filed under the name Vreelandella stevensii. RNAcentral describes it as "partial 16S ribosomal RNA". It matches the Rfam family "Bacterial small subunit ribosomal RNA", at positions 338 to 795 of the family's 1533-position model. Lineage: Bacteria; Pseudomonadati; Pseudomonadota; Gammaproteobacteria; Oceanospirillales; Halomonadaceae. The record is from RNAcentral.
CCUACGGGGGGCUGCAGUGGGGAAUAUUGGACAAUGGGGGCAACCCUGAUCCAGCCAUGCCGCGUGUGUGAAGAAGGCCCUCGGGUUGUAAAGCACUUUCAGUGAGGAAGAACGCCUGGUGGUUAAUACCCAUCAGGAAAGACAUCACUCACAGAAGAAGCACCGGCUAACUCCGUGCCAGCAGCCGCGGUAAUACGGAGGGUGCGAGCGUUAAUCGGAAUUACUGGGCGUAAAGCGCGCGUAGGUGGCUUGAUAAGCCGGUUGUGAAAGCCCCGGGCUCAACCUGGGAACGGCAUCCGGAACUGUCAAGCUAGAGUGCAGGAGAGGAAGGUAUAAUUCCCGGUGUAGCGGUGAAAUGCGUAGAGAUCGGGAGGAAUACCAGUGGCGAAGGCGGCCUUCUGGACUGACACUGACACUGAGGUGCGAAAGCGUGGGUAGCAAACAGGAUUAGAUACCCUUGUAGUC